CGGGGGUACCGGGAGAAGUCCUGGUUGAGAUCAGACCCAUUGAACCUGAUGCGGGUAAUGCCGCCGAAGGGAAGCGUAAU
RNAcentral lists this non-coding RNA (80 nucleotides) under bovine gut metagenome. The record is from RNAcentral.